UAGUCCACGCCGUAAACGAUGAUAACUAGCUGUUCGGGCCCACAGGGCUUGAGUGGCGCAGCUAACGCAUUAAGUUAUCCGCCUGGGGAGUACGGUCGCAAGAUUAAAACUCAAAGGAAUUGACGGGGGCCUGCACAAGCGGUGGAGCAUGUGGUUUAAUUCGACGCAACGCGCAGAACCUUACCAGCUUUUGACAUCCUGGUCGCGGAUUUGGGAGACCAUUUCCUUCAGUUCGGCUGGACCAGUGACAGGUGCUGCAUGGCUGUCGUCAGCUCGUGUCGUGAGAUGUUGGGUUAAGUCCCGCAACGAGCGCAACCCUCAUCCUUAGUUGCCAGCAUUUAGUUGGGCACUCUAAGGAAACUGCCGGUGAUAAGCCGGAGGAAGGUGGGGAUGACGUCAAGUCCUCAUGGCCCUUACAAGCUGGGCUACACACGUGCUACAAUGGCGAUGACAGUGAGCAGCUAACCCGCGAGGGCAAGCUAAUCUCUAAAAGUCGU
This 497-nucleotide ribosomal RNA is filed under the name uncultured bacterium. RNAcentral's name for it is "bacterial SSU rRNA". It matches the Rfam family "Bacterial small subunit ribosomal RNA", at positions 791 to 1286 of the family's 1533-position model. The record is from RNAcentral.